Mus musculus (house mouse) is the source of this 713-nucleotide long non-coding RNA. RefSeq annotates it as predicted gene, 30628. The transcript has 3 exons. NCBI's taxonomy places the organism in Eukaryota, Metazoa, Chordata, Mammalia, Rodentia, Muridae. The record is from RefSeq and is a predicted model, not a curated record.
GGCUGUGUGACCUACAAUGAAGAACACAACAACUUUGUACUUCAUUGUCCUAAUCUAUACAGGCAGACUAAACAAAACACCAGUGUGCACCCACCCCACCCCCGCCGUGUGGAUCCAGUGGAGAUGAUUCAUGGGAAGCGAUGAAUAGGGUCUCUGGCACAGUCCACCACUGGGCAUGUGGAAGUGCUCCUCCUACCCAUAUGCCCCGGGUGCCUGGGGCCUUUCUACUUCUGAGCCUUCUCUCACAGUUUCUUCCCCCACCCAAUGCAUGUUGCCCACUAGCCAGCUGCAGCCUGAGACUCAGCCAAAGCUGGAGCCCCAAGCAGGAAGCACCCAAGAGGCUGGCUCCCUAGCAAUGCCCAGCAUGCGGCCAGCGCAGAGGAUCAUGGGAACCCAUUGCCGGAUGUGGUCUUGGGGAGGGUCUCUCCUCACCUGCUAAGCAAAUAUCUCCAGCUCCCAUCUCCAUUUCCAAUAAUGCCACCCCCAGAGAGGAGCCAUCCGGUGACUGCAUCCAGCUAGAGGCAAGAAGAGAUGCAAUGGCUGAUGAGGGUUCUCGUACCCCAAGUCUCAGUCUCCCUACAUAGUCAGUCACCUGAUCUACACCCCAAGUUUGGAACGAUUGUAGUCAGUCACUGGAAGAGCCCUCGGAGUGCCAGGCACAGAGCAUCCCUGCCCAGAAUCUGUGAGAUAGUCCACGUAUGUUGGUGUAUAUG